RNAcentral lists this ribosomal RNA (253 nucleotides) under uncultured bacterium. RNAcentral describes it as "partial 16S ribosomal RNA". It matches the Rfam family "Bacterial small subunit ribosomal RNA", at positions 524 to 776 of the family's 1533-position model. The record is from RNAcentral.
UACGUAGGGUGCAAGCGUUAAUCGGAAUUACUGGGCGUAAAGCGUGCGCAGGCGGUUUUGUAAGUCUGUCGUGAAAGCCCCGGGCUCAACCUGGGAAUUGCGAUGGAGACUGCAAAGCUAGAGUGUGUCAGAGGGGAGUAGAAUUCCACGUGUAGCAGUGAAAUGCGUAGAUAUGUGGAGGAACACCGAUGGCGAAGGCAGCCCCCUGGGAUAACACUGACGCUCAUGCACGAAAGCGUGGGGAGCAAACAGG